RNAcentral lists this ribosomal RNA (460 nucleotides) under uncultured bacterium. RNAcentral's name for it is "partial 16S ribosomal RNA". It matches the Rfam family "Bacterial small subunit ribosomal RNA", at positions 338 to 795 of the family's 1533-position model. The record is from RNAcentral.
CCUACGGGAGGCAGCAGUGAGGAAUAUUGGUCAAUGGCCGAAAGGCUGAACCAGCCAAGUCGCGUGAAGGAAGACGGAUCUAUGGUUUGUAAACUUCUUUUACAGGGGAAUAAAGGUAUCUACGUGUGGAUCUUUGCAUGUACCCUUUGAUUAAGCAUCGGCUAACUCCGUGCCAGCAGCCGCGGUAAUACGGAGGGUGCGAGCGUUAUCCGGAUUUAUUGGGUUUAAAGGGUGCGUAGGUUGGUGUUGAAGUCCGCGGUGAAAGUUUGUGGCUCAACCAUAAAAUUGCCGUUGAAACUGGACAGCUUGAGUGUAUGUGAGGUAAGCGGAAUGCGUGGUGUAGCGGUGAAAUGCAUAGAUAGCACGCAGAACUCCGAUUGCGAAGGCAGCUUACUAGGCCAUAACUGACACUGAGGCACGAAAGCGUGGGGAUCAAACAGGAUUAGAUACCCCAGUAGUC